GUGACCCACCACCCCCUCUCUGACCAUGAGGCCACCCUGAGGUGCUGGGCCCUGGGCUUCUACCCUGCGGAGAUCACACUGACCUGGCAGCGGGAUGGGGAGGACCAGACCCAGGACACCGAGCUUGUGGAGACCAGGCCAGCAGGAGAUGGAACCUUCCAGAAGUGGGCAGCUGUGGUGGUGCCUUCUGGACAAGAGCAGAGAUACACGUGCCAUAUGCAGCACGAGGGGCUGCAAGAGCCCCUCACCCUGAGCUGGGGUGGAAAAGGAGGGAGCUGCUCUCAGGCUGCGUGCAGCAACAGUGCCCAGGGCUCUGAUGAGUCUCUCAUCACUUGUAAAGCCUGAGACAGCUGCCUGUGUGGGACUGAGAUGCAGGAUUUCUUCACACCUCUCCUUUGUGACUUCAAGAGCCUCUGGCAUCUCUUUCUGCAAAGGCACCUGAAUGUGUCUGCGUUCCUGUUAGCAUAAUGUGAGGAGGUGGAGAGACAGCCCACCCCCGUGUCCACCGUGACCCCUGUCCCCACACUGACCUGUGUUCCCUCCCCGAUCAUCUUUCCUGUUCCAGAGAGGUGGGGCUGGAUGUCUCCAUCUCUGUCUCAAAUUCAUGGUGCACUGAGCUGCAACUUCUUACUUCCCUAAUGAAGUUAAGAACCUGAAUAUAAAUUUGUGUUCUCAAAUAUUUGCUAUGAAGCGUUGAUGGAUUAAUUAAAUAAGUCAAUUCCUAGAAGUUGAGAGAGCAAAUAAAGACCUGAGAACCUUC
RNAcentral lists this long non-coding RNA (760 nucleotides) under Homo sapiens (human). Its description in RNAcentral is "HSALNT0104294". Lineage: Eukaryota; Metazoa; Chordata; Mammalia; Primates; Hominidae. The record is from RNAcentral.